Molecule: ribosomal RNA, 253 nt
Filed under: uncultured bacterium
Lineage: Bacteria
Description: partial 16S ribosomal RNA
Rfam family: Bacterial small subunit ribosomal RNA
Source: RNAcentral
UACGUAGGGUGCAAGCGUUGUCCGGAAUUAUUGGGCGUAAAGAGCUCGUAGGCGGUUUGUCGCGUCUGCUGUGAAAACUCGGGGCUUAACCCCGGGCCUGCAGUGGGUACGGGCAGACUAGAGUGCGGUAGGGGAGACUGGAAUUCCUGGUGUAGCGGUGAAAUGCGCAGAUAUCAGGAGGAACACCGGUGGCGAAGGCGGGUCUCUGGGCCGUAACUGACGCUGAGGAGCGAAAGCGUGGGGAGCGAAUAGG